GNAAGUCGAGCGGACAGAUGGGAGCUUGCUCCCUGAUGUUAGCGGCGGACGGGUGAGUAACACGUGGGUAACCUGCCUGUAAGACUGGGAUAACUCCGGGAAACCGGGGCUAAUACCGGAUGGUUGUUUGAACCGCAUGGUUCAAACAUAAAAGGUGGCUUCGGCUACCACUUACAGAUGGACCCGCGGCGCAUUAGCUAGUUGGUGAGGUAACGGCUCACCAAGGCAACGAUGCGUAGCCGACCUGAGAGGGUGAUCGGCCACACUGGGACUGAGACACGGCCCAGACUCCUACGGGAGGCAGCAGUAGGGAAUCUUCCGCAAUGGACGAAAGUCUGACGGAGCAACGCCGCGUGAGUGAUGAAGGUUUUCGGAUCGUAAAGCUCUGUUGUUAGGGAAGAACAAGUACCGUUCGAAUAGGGCGGUACCUUGACGGUACCUAACCAGAAAGCCACGGCUAACUACGUGCCAGCAGCCGCGGUAAUACGUAGGUGGCAAGCGUUGUCCGGAAUUAUUGGGCGUAAAGGGCUCGCAGGCGGUUUCUUAAGUCUGAUGUGAAAGCCCCCGGCUCAACCGGGGAGGGUCAUUGGAAACUGGGGAACUUGAGUGCAGAAGAGGAGAGUGGAAUUCCACGUGUAGCGGUGAAAUGCGUAGAGAUGUGGAGGAACACCAGUGGCGAAGGCGACUCUCUGGUCUGUAACUGACGCUGAGGAGCGAAAGCGUGGGGAGCGAACAGGAUUAGAUACCCUGGUAGUCCACGCCG
RNAcentral lists this ribosomal RNA (763 nucleotides) under bacterium LGM95. Its description in RNAcentral is "bacterial SSU rRNA". It matches the Rfam family "Bacterial small subunit ribosomal RNA", at positions 57 to 802 of the family's 1533-position model. The record is from RNAcentral.